Molecule: ribosomal RNA, 1440 nt
Filed under: uncultured bacterium
Lineage: Bacteria
Description: bacterial SSU rRNA
Rfam family: Bacterial small subunit ribosomal RNA
Source: RNAcentral
AGAGUUUGAUCAUGGCUCAGAACGUACGCUGGCGGCACGCCUAACACAUGCAAGUCGAACGAAGUAGCAAUACUUAGUGGCAGACGGGUGAGUAACAUGUGGGUAUCUGCCCUUUGGCCUGGAAUAACACGAGGAAACUUGUGCUAAUACCGGAUAAGUCUUUACAGAGAAAGCUUUAUGCACCAAUGGAUGAGCCUGCACUUGAUUAGUUUGUUGGUGGGGUAAUGGCCUACCAAGACUGUGAUCAAUAGCUGAUUUGAGAGGAUGAUCAGCCACAUUGGGACUGAGACACGGCCCAAACUCCUACGGGAGGCAGCAGUGGGGAAUCUUGCACAAUGGAGGAAACUCUGAUGCAGCGAUGCCGCGUGAGUGAAGAAGGCCUUUGGGUUGUAAAGCUCUUUCGUCGGGGAAGAAAAUGACUGUACCCGAAUAAGAAGGUCCGGCUAACUUCGUGCCAGCAGCCGCGGUAAUACGAAAGGGACCUAGCGUAGUUCGGAAUUACUGGGCUUAAAGAGUUCGUACGUGGUUGAAAAAGUUGGUGGUGAAAUCCCAGAGCUUAACUCUGGAACUGCCAUCAAAACUUUUCAGCUAGAGUAUGAUAGAGGAAAGCAGAAUUUCUAGUGUAGAGGUGAAAUUCGUAGAUAUUAGAAAGAAUACCAAUUGCGAAGGCAGCUUUCUGGAUCAUUACUGACGCUGAGGAACGAAAGCAUGGGUAGCGAAGAGGAUUAGAUACCCUCGUAGUCCAUGCCGUAAACGAUGUGUGUUAGACGUUGGAAAUUUAUUUUCAGUGUCGCAGCGAAAGCAAUAAACACACCGCCUGGGGAGUACGACCGCAAGGUUAAAACUCAAAUGAAUUGACGGGGACCCGCACAAGUAGUGGAGCAUGUGGUUUAAUUCGAAGAUACGCGCAGAACCUUACCAACACUUGACAUGUUCGUCGCGACUUUAAGAGAUUAAAGUUUUCGGUUCGGCCGGACGAAACACAGGUGCUGCAUGGCUGUCGUCAGCUCGUGUCGUGAGAUGUUGGGUUAAGUCCCGCAACGAGCGCAACCCUCACUUUUAGUUGCCAUCAUUAAGUUGGGCACUCUGAAAGAACUGCCAGUGAUAAGCUGGAGGAAGGUGGGGAUGACGUCAAGUCCUCAUGGCCCUUACGUGUUGGGCUACACACGUGCUACAAUGGUAUCUACAACAGGAAGCAAAACUGCGAGGUUAAGCAAAUCCUUAAAAGAUACCUCAGUUCGGAUUGCACUCUGCAACUCGAGUGCAUGAAGCUGGAAUUACUAGUAAUCGUGGAUCAGCGUGCCACGGUGAAUGCGUUCCCGGGUCUUGUACACACCGCCCGUCACACCAUGGGAGUUGGUUCUACCUUAAGGCAAGGUUUAAAACCCUUGACCACGGUAUAGUCAGCGACUGGGGUGAAGUCGUAACAAGGUAGCCGUA